CUCCCUGCGAUUCCAGCGCGGUCAGGGGGCGAACCCGCCCGAUUUCUACGGUGCGGCCUUGGACCAAAUUCUUCUCUGGCGUAUAAAUCCCCAAUCGUGCCCGCCUCUUGCUCAACCACCUCGCACCGCCACCAGGGGACCCUCGUCACCGAGAAAGAGAGAGCCACGAGGGAGAGAGGGAGUCUUCUUCGCCGAUCUGCGCUCAUCGGCGACGACAAGGGAAGGAAGGGCACCGGCUCUGUGUCAGUAUCCCUUCAUCAGUCACUGGAGGUCAGGCAGAGCAUGUUCGAGGAGAUGCAGCAGAUAAUGAAGCUACAAGGCUCGCAGGCCAAGCACCAAGGUUUAUAGGCCAGAAUGGGCUAAAUAGUUGCUAGGCCGGCCUGUGUGCCGGAGUAUAAUAUAUAAGCCAAACUUAGGGCAGAGAAGGGGAUGAAAUGAACCUGACUCUGAAUUCUACUAUCUACUAUCGUCUCCCUGUUCUUCACCUCUAUUCAUCUUCUUUGUGUUGUCUGUCUGUAUCUCUCCACUCCUGCUAUUCUAUUAGUGAUCUAUUAGGAUAGCUAACAAUUGGUAUCAGAUAUCCACCGAUCCUCGAAUUCCAUCGUUCCUCGACCGGAAAACAUCCAUGGCGUCUUCUUCACCGGUCCAUACUCAGCUCAUUCAAGCGUUGGAGCUUCAGACGCGCGCCCUCCUCUCGGAGUUAGACAAGCGUCUCGACUCCAAGUGGGGGACCAAAUGGGAAUCCCGUGUUGGAGCGAUCGAAUCGCGUUCCGCCGAUUCGACUCGCGCCAUGUCCGAUUUCUCCUCUGCUCUUCACUCCGACGUGGAAGCGCACCUCACAGCAGCUGACGCCGCCACCGACUCCAACCUUCUCCAGAUCGAAGCCGAGCUGGACCCCCGCGUGUCGGCGCUCAAAUCCUCAGUGCACGCCCUCGAUCUGUGGUGUCCUCGCGUGGAUUCAUCGAUCGAGGGGCUCCACGCGUCGGUGGAUUUCAUCAGCACCGAAGUGUCCAAGAUGGGGAUUCUAUGGAACCACGACGUGUGUGUCGACGACUUAGCCAGGCCGGGCUUGUUCGGAGCACACAGAUCGGCGGCGUGCUUCGACGCGUCCGCCAGCGCGCCGUCCAUCCCAGCCUCGGUCAUCGCCGACAACUGGGGAGGGUUCUUCGACGAUGGCGAGCAGUACUGCGCGGCGCUGGACGCGCUGCCCAACAGCAUCCACUCAGACCUCCUCAACACAUUCGCGCGUCACAGCCACGACCAUCUCUUCGUCCUCAACCCCGUGGCCGCCCAGGAUUCCUCUGCCGAGGAGGCCAUGGCCACGAUGGAAGCAGCCGCGGACGCGGGGGAUCCCGCGAGGCUCGUCCAGUCCUCUCCGUCCCCUUCCCUACUCAUCGCGGGGAACCUGCUGCCACCCUCCCUCACGAUGCCGCAGCUGCAAGCUGAGGUGGUGGACAAGCAGUACCGCGUCGCGAUGAGUCCACCGCCUCCUCUUCCCGUCGUCGACGAGCUGUACCGCGAAGAGGCAAGUCCUCCGCCUCCCAUCCACGACGACGCUGCAGGGGUGAUGUCCUUGGACUCGAGCGCGUUCAAGGUGCUCGACCAAAUGUCCAAGAGCGCAAGAGCCGACGGUCUAGUGGUGAACCCGUUCGAGGAGCUGGAAAGCGGCUCGAUGGCACUUCUCGCGGAGGCGACGGGCGAAAAGGUGAUCGUCGUUGGGUCUGUCUUGCUAUGCCGCUCACCAAGUCUCUACCCUCAAUCCAUGUCGUGUGACACGAGGCGAUGCAUGGCGUGGCUGGAUGCCAAGGCGCCCAAGUCUGUGGUGUACGUGAGCUUCGGCAGUGCCAAAUGCAUGCCACCCAUUCAGCUCAGGCAGCUCGGCAUGGCGUUUGCCUCAUGCCCCUCGCCUGUGCUCUGGCUCAUCAAGGACGCUGACUCCCUGCCCAACAACAUCAAGGAUUUGCUACACGAGCACACUGUUGCAGACGAUGUCGCAGGAAGCAAGUGCCUGGUGGUGCGCGGUUGGGCGCUACACGUGGCCAUCCUGGCCCAUCCUGCCAGUGACGGCUUCAUGGCGCUCUGUGGAUGGGGCUCCACUCUGGAGGUUGUUGCAGCCGGUCUUCCCAUGGCUGCCUGGCCCUUUUUCGCCGAACAAUUUAUCAACGAGCAGCUCAUCAUGGACGUGCUUGGUAUUGGAUUGUCUGUCGCUGUGAUGAAGCCAAUUGAAAAUGUUUUGAUUGCCAGUAACAUGGGUGGUGCUGUUGUGAUGAUAUAUGCUCCUGUUUUUUGGUCUUGCCUGACAAGCUUCACACUUGGAAUCCAUGGUCAGAUAGUUGGGGUUCUAUGUUUGCCAUUUCUGGUAAUUCAACUGAAUAUCAGUAUAGCUGUCCAGCAAAGGUUCUUGUGGGAUCCAGGUGGUGAUCAGUGUUGCUUACUGAAUUUGUUUAUUCAUGGCUUGGGGGACUUGCAGAUGCAACAAGCUAGUCUGUCUUUUGUCACGAAGACAGGAUGGCUGGUGAUUAUCCUUUCCUUGCUGCUACUCCAAUGGGACAAGCCAAACCUUCGGGGUCUUAACAAAUCCAAGUGCAUUCAGCGUGGCUUCCGUCGAUGCUAUGUACAUGCUUGUCCAAGCAGGUGGUCUGACUGGCUUCCGUCGGCCGAGUUUUGGUAUAAUAGCUCGUUCCAUUCUGCUACCGGUCGAUCUCCUUUUGAGGACUUAUAUGGUUAUGCACCUCGCCAUUUCUGUAUUACUUCAUGUGAUGGUCCCUCAGCUGGCCUAAAUGCAUUCUUGCAAGACAAACUGGUUAUGACCAAACUGUUACAGCAACAUCUUUUGCGCGCCAAGCAAUAGAUGAAGUCUAUGGAUGAUAAGCACCGCACUGAGUGUGAAUUUGCUGUUGGAGAUCUGAAGGCCGUGGGUGUGCUAACGUCCUGGUAUCUCCGUUGCUGCCUGCCACUGACUCUGCUUGGCACAUUCAUGAACAGAUAUUGGAGCGACAUCUGGUCGUCCCAACCUUCCUCGUUGGCAACAUGGGAAGACUUGGAAGCACUCAAGCACACCUUUCCUCAGGCUCCAGCUUGGGGGCAAGCUGGUUCUCAUGGAGGAGGGAAUGUCAGUAUCCCUUCAUCAGUCACUGGAGGUCAGGCAGAGCAUGUUCGAGGAGAUGCAGCAGAUAAUGAAGCUACAAGGCUCGCAGGCCAAGCACCAAGGUUUAUAGGCCAGAAUGGGCUAAAUAGUUGCUAGGCCGGCCUGUGUGCCGGAGUAUAAUAUAUAAGCCAAACUUAGGGCAGAGAAGGGGAUGAAAUGAACCUGACUCUGAAUUCUACUAUCUACUAUCGUCUCCCUGUUCUUCACCUCUAUUCAUCUUCUUUGUGUUGUCUGUCUGUAUCUCUCCACUCCUGCUAUUCUAUUAGUGAUCUAUUAGGAUAGCUAACACUCUGACCGCGUUUUGGCAUGGGGAUUUCGCUGUGAUUGCGACUUUGUGCCGGUCAAUGGAGUCCGCCGCAACACCGGGUGAGCGCAUCGGUGUCGGCCGCAAGGGAAGGGAGGAAACCUCGUCUGGGCAGUUCCUCGCAGCCGUGGACACUCGCCGUCAUCCACCUAGCGAUCGACUCCACCCCCGUUCCGAACUCUCGGUAAGCGUCACUCUUUGUACGUAGUCGUCCCUUUGCUGAGUAGGGGGCAUCGUUCAGUUAUAGCGUAGCGGGCGUCG
RNAcentral lists this long non-coding RNA (3713 nucleotides) under Zea mays. RNAcentral describes it as "long non-coding RNA (ZMAY_LNC001760)". The record is from RNAcentral. Lineage: Eukaryota; Viridiplantae; Streptophyta; Magnoliopsida; Poales; Poaceae.